CUACGGGAGGCAGCAGUGGGGAAUUUUCCGCAAUGGGCGAAAGCCUGACGGAGCAAUACCGCGUGAGGGAAGACGGCCUAUGGGUUGUAAACCUCUUUUUUCAGGGAGGAAUUUUGACGUGUACCUGAAGAAUAAGCAUCGGCUAACUCCGUGCCAGCAGCCGCGGUAAGACGGAGGAUGCAAGUGUUAUCCGGAAUCACUGGGCGUAAAGCGUCUGUAGGUGGUUAAGCAAGUCAACUGUUAAAUCUUGAGGCUCAACUUCAAAAUCGCAGUCGAAACUGUUUGACUAGAGUAUAGUAGGGGUAAAGGGAAUUUCCAGUGGAGCGGUGAAAUGCGUAGAUAUUGGAAAGAACACCGAUGGCGAAGGCACUUUACUGGGCUAUUACUGACACUCAGAGACGAAAGCUAGGGUAGCAAAUGGGAUUAGAUACCCCAGUAGUCCUAGCCGUAAACAAUGGAUACUAGAUGUUGAACAGAUCGACCUGUGCAGUAUCAAAGCUAACGCGUUAAGUAUCCCGCCUGGGAAGUAUGCUCGCAAGAGUGAAACUCAAAG
This 553-nucleotide ribosomal RNA is filed under the name uncultured bacterium. RNAcentral describes it as "bacterial SSU rRNA". It matches the Rfam family "Bacterial small subunit ribosomal RNA", at positions 339 to 906 of the family's 1533-position model. The record is from RNAcentral.